AUAGUUUUAAGUAAAAUCUGCUCUAUGAAUAAUUUAAUGGCCGCAGAAUUUUUACUGUGCUAAGGUAGCAUAAUCAUUUACCUUUUAAUUAAAGGUUUGUAUGAAAGAUUUAACAUUUAAAUUACUUUUUUAUUUAAAUAUUUUAAAUUUUAAUUAAAUAUUAAAAUAUAUUUAUAUUUUAAAAAGACGAUAAGACCCUAUUGAACUUUACUUGUGUUAAGCUGGGGUAGCUAAUUAAAUACCAUUUUAAUUAAAUAAAACAAAAAUAUUUCUAAUAAAAUUAAAUAUAAAAGUUACCAUAGGGAUAACAGCGUUAUAUUAUUUUAAAGAUCAUAUUCAAAAUAAUGUUUACGACCUCGAUGUUGAAUUAAAUUUCCUUAAAAACGCAAUAGUAGAAAAGGGGGUCGU
RNAcentral lists this ribosomal RNA (408 nucleotides) under Solenysa wulingensis. RNAcentral's name for it is "partial 16S ribosomal RNA". Lineage: Eukaryota; Metazoa; Arthropoda; Arachnida; Araneae; Linyphiidae. The record is from RNAcentral.